GGUGUAGCUCAGUUUGGCUAGAGCGCUUGAUUUGGGAUCAAGAGGUCGCAGGUUCAAGUCCUGUUACC
RNAcentral lists this transfer RNA (68 nucleotides) under bovine gut metagenome. It matches the Rfam family "tRNA". Rfam says of the family: Transfer RNA (tRNA) molecules are approximately 80 nucleotides in length. The record is from RNAcentral.